UCAUCAGUAAGGUACACCCUUACCUGUUACUCCUUGUGGAGUUGCAGAAAAUGAUGAAUGAAGGUCAUUAAUACUUAUUCCCACCCCUGAGGAACUAACAACCCUUCAGCAACCAUUCUGCU
Molecule: small nucleolar RNA, 122 nt
Organism: Rhincodon typus (whale shark)
Lineage: Eukaryota; Metazoa; Chordata; Chondrichthyes; Orectolobiformes; Rhincodontidae
Product: U8 small nucleolar RNA
Exons: 1
Source: RefSeq, a predicted model, not a curated record